Eriocheir sinensis (Chinese mitten crab) is the source of this 7262-nucleotide long non-coding RNA. RefSeq lists it as uncharacterized. NCBI's taxonomy places the organism in Eukaryota, Metazoa, Arthropoda, Malacostraca, Decapoda, Varunidae. The transcript has 7 exons. The record is from RefSeq and is a predicted model, not a curated record.
GAGAGAGAGAGAUGAACGUGAUACAGAACCUAACCACAAAGAUUAUUUUUGAGAGAGAGAGAGAGAGAGAGAGAAUGGACGUACACAAGAAAUAAAAAAAAAAAUGAUGGGCCAACAACAACAACAACAACGGUGAAGAUAACGAUGACAACUUUAAUAAUCGGUGCGUGUGUGUGUUCAAGAGCACCUGGCAACAAGGAGACUGAUUGGACAGGUGUGACUUUGAAGGGACAACAAAAAGAAGAAGGGACAACAGGUGCAUUCAAGAGUUACCUGGAGAAGAUCCUACCUGAGGAAUACCUUGGACUAAUUAACCAGGAAGAAGAUUCAUCCCACCUUGCACACCUGGCUCUCCUGCACACUUGUUUCAAGAUAAGCCUGGUUCACCUUACUGAGAGAGAGAGAGAGAGAGAGAGAGAGAGAGAGAGAGAGAGAGAGAGAGAGAGAGAGAGAGAGAGAGAGAAUAUGAAAGCUAUCUACUCUUAUUUUUCUUUUAUUUUUAGUUUAAUGCAUGGUAAUGUAAGGAAAUAAUUAGUCAUUCUAGAGGAACAUUUAAUCUAGUAAGUGUUGUUGUUAUUAUUAUUAUUAUUGUUGUUAUUAUUAUUAUUAUUAUUAUUAUUAUUAUUGUUGUUGUUGUUAAUGAUUAUACUAAAGGAAAGUGCAUUCAAACCAGAGAAAUAACAUCAGAAAAUAUAAAGACUCAGACUCCAUUAAUCGCUUAGGAAGAAGAGUAUAUAAAUAAAGCAAAGAUAAGAAAACACAUCACUCAUUCUUUCUUGAUUCAUGCAUUACCAGCGCCUUUCUUCCCUCCUGUCCUUCAGCCAUGUCUUAUUUUUACCUUCCCUUCCCUCUUGGUAUUCUCUCACACAUUUCUUCUUUCUUUCUUUAUUCCUUCAUCCAUUCGGUCAACUCAUUCAUUCAUAUAUUGUCUUGCUCCCUAUUUCCUUCCUUCAAGCAUUCACUCAUUCCUUUUCUUCUUCAUUUAUUCACUCAGUCACUUAAUUCAUAUAGUCUCAUUCCUUGUAUUAAAUAAUUGCAUUCUUUUUUCUCCCUUCCUUCCUUCUUUCAUUCAUAAAUUGCUUCAUUCCGACCUCCAUUCAUAUAUUCAUUCAUUCUUACCUACAAUCAUUCAUUCAUUUAUUCAUCUAUUCACUCACUCAUCUAUAUAUAGCAAAAGCAAACAUACCUAAAAAUAAUCCGAGACAAAUACCAACCAUUCUCCUUCCUCCCACACAGGACAAGCCAAGCCCGCCCAGCAACGCCCAGUCAGUCCGUCCUCCAUUCCCUGAGACCCUUUCUUGUGAAGGCACAGGUUCACAGGCAAGGCGCUCAGGCAUGGAUGACGGGUCUUACACGCCCAGACAUUACCCGAGGACCUUAUGACCACUCCUUCAGGAUCUUACUACGACCUUCAGGACCUUAUCAACACCCCAGGAUCCUGCCACGACCUUCAGGACCUUAUCAACACCCCAGGAUCCUGCCACGACCUUCAGGACCUUAUCAACCUUGCUCUGGAUCUCUACGUCUCUCCACCGCCACCUCGCCACGCCCUUCAGGAUCGUACCACUUCUAGGAUCUUAUUACGCCAUCCAGGAUUUUGUCACCACUUCCUAGAAUAUCUGCAUGUCCUCUCCGCCUCUGCUCAUUCCGCUACCACCUCGCCAUUCCCUCUAGGUUCUUAUCACUCCCCUCAGGAUCUUACACUAUUACUAAAUCUAACAGCGCCGUCUUGCCAUGCUCACACACAUACCACCACUUUUCCACAACGUACUCGCCCACCAAGACCUCUUGCCAUUCCCCCCAGGCACAUUACGAAGAUUUUCUUGUCCCUCUCUCUCAACCUUUCCACCUCCAAGACCUCUGCCUCUCCAUUACCAUACCCAGGAUCAGGGCUACUAUCAAUGCAGCUAGUCAUCCAUUCAUUUAGCCAGUCAGUCAGCAAGCAAACAACCCACCUAGUCAGUCAGAUAUUUUACCACAAAGUCAGCCAUAUAUAUCGUGUCUAUAGUAUAUAUAUAUAUAUAUAUAUAUAUAUAUAUAUAUAUAUAUAUAUAUAUAUAUAUAUAUAUAUAUAUAUAUAUAUAUAUAUAUAUAUAUAUAUUGUGUGUGUGUGUGUGUGUGUGUGUGUGUGUGAUUUUGCCAGAGACUGUUCUUUAUAUAUAAAUAAUCAAUUAUAUAUGUGGCAUUGUUCAGUUCACACUAAAAGUUUAUUAGUAUUUUGGAUAUAUAGCUUACAGGAUGUAUUGUAAAUGUAGAAGAAAAUGUUUUAAGUAGUGAUGAUAUAAAUAGGUUAAUUUUUCUUUUGUGUAGCGCUGUUAAGAAUAAGAAAUAUGCAAAUAUGAAUGUGUUUUUUUCUGCAAUAGAAUUUGGUGCAGUGACUAAGAUGUGUGGACCUAAUUGAGUGUGAUGUUAGAUUUUUAUGGAGAUAAUGAAAAGUGGGUAAUGAAGGGUGAUUAGGACUAAGAUAACGGGGAGAAAGAGGAGUAGGAGGGGGAAUAUUAAUAAUGAGGAGGAGGAAGAGGACUGGGAGGGAAAUAUUGAUAAUGAGAAGAAUAAUUGUAAUGAUACUGUUUGUGAGGACGAAAACGAUAAUGUUAUUGAAUGAUGAGAGAGAUUAGGGAGAGGAAAAGUAAGGAAAGUUUGAUAAUGAAGAAAUGGAUAGUGACAUUGAAGUCUGAGAGUACUAAGAAGAGAAUAAUGAGAACGAUUGUAAUAGUAAUAAUGGUGAUGAUAAUGCUCUUGAUGAUAUGGUUAAAACUAUUAAAAUGAGAUUGUACUAAUGAUAGUGAGAGACGAUACCGUACAUAUUUGCUUAUUCAUCAUAGACUUAUUAUUUUUAUUCAUUAAUACACUACAAAAUUAAUUAAUUAUUAGAUGAAUAUCAGUCACACUACAGACCUAAGAAACAAUGAAAGUAACUACCACAUUAUAUAUACUCAUGAUGAAGUCUUGGAUCUCAUGUAAAAAAAAAAGAGAGAGAGACGCCCUCAAGCCUGUAACAUGUUUGAUUAACCCUUAGAAAAAUAGUAUAUAAUAUGUGAAAGUCAACAUCCUAAGCUUUGGUCAUAAUAAAAAGUUUAAAAAGUUUGGAUUUUACAUGACCACAAACAAAUUCAGCAAGCAUAAACAGGAAAAAGAGAGAGAAGACAAAAUGGGAAGCAAAAUGAGAGAACUUAAAGUUAGAAGGAAAAAAAAUGUAGAAAAUGCUGAAGAAAAGGAAAUAACCAAUUGGAGAGGAGGAGAGGGAGAGGGGGAAGUGGAGAGGUAAGGGGAAGUGAAAUAACAGUUGAUAAGGCGGAGUAAAUGACACCACUCAUUCAACUUCCUACCGGUGCACCAAGCCUAACGUAAAAGAAAAUAAAUAAAGAAGUUGGUAAUGAAGUCAGGAAGGGACAGGCGGGGGAAGGAGGAAGCAAAUGUGGUCUGGGUUAGGAGUGGUCAGCAUUUUGUAGACUCGGCAACAGGCAGUCAGGAAAUGGCCCGUGAUACUCCAUUUCUUUUGCUACUGAAUAAGAAAAGAAGAGAGAGGCUGGUUAGGUCUGGCUAUUUCUAUUACUACUGAAAAAAUAAGGGGAGGCUAAGGAUGUAUGAGGCAGCAUUUCAACAGACUCGAGAACAGACAAAAUGGGUAAAAAAAUACUCCUUUUUUUGCUGUUAUCUAAUGGCAUAAACUAUGGAGAGAGGAGGGAGGUGGUUAGGUAUGUUACCGUAUGUAUAAGACAGCAUUUCAUAUACUCGAUAAUAAAGUAAAAAAUAGGUCAAAAUACUCCUUUUCUGUUAUUUCAUGCCAGAAACUAUGGAGAGCGAGCAAGGGAGGUUGGUUAGUUAGGUAUGCAUUAGACAGCAUUUCAUAUAAUCGAUAAUAUAGUUAAAAAAAAUAGGUCAAAAUACUCCUUUCUAAUGUUAACUAAUGCCAGAAAUUGCGGAGAGAGUGAGAGCAUUAUAAAUAUCAAAUACUCGUCAAUCUAGUUUAUCAGUGGAGCAAAUUUGUUCAUUUCCAUAUGUUACUGCGCGAAAACAACACAUAAUUACAAACUUACAACAGCAGUAGGUGAAAGUAAAACGAGUAGCUCCAGUGUUCCGAUCCACCUAACUUGACACCCCAAGCGUUUCAUGAAGCCGAGCCGUGAACCGGAAAAUAUGAAAGCAAACGCAUCUAAAAACAAAAUCAUUUUUGCUUUCCCAUAUCCAAAAAAAAAUAGCAAUAUAUAUUUUGGUAAAUCUUAAGAAUAGCGGCUCCUAGCGGGUGCGCAUUUAGGGCACGGUGUUUUGGUAAUUACAACAUUUCUAGCACGUACGACGGGGUUUUGACAAGCGGACAGGCGUGUUUAUGUCACAAGGUGCAUUUUUCCGCGCGGGCUCUCCCCUUUCUUCAUCCCGGAGCUCGCAGUCUCAUCGCCCAUCGACUUGAAAGAAAUCGUGAGGCCAGCGUGGAAAAAUACACGUCUGUCCGCUUGUCAAAACCCCGUCGUACGUGCUAGAAAUGUCCACCACACCGUGCACCGUUUGAGGAGCCGCUAUUCUUAAGAUUCAUCUAUAUUUUAAUCAGUUGUUCACUUGUAUAUCAAUGUUCUAAUUAAUUUUCAGUUAUUUUUUUGUAUAAUUUCUGAGGAUUCUAAAAGACAAAAGCGAAUCACGUCAGCUUGUUACUGAAAUAUGUAAGAAAAUUCAUCUAAAAGCAAAACCAAAUUACUCUCCUCUUUCCAAAAAAUAGCAAGAUUUAUUUUAAUCAAUUGUUCACUUGUAUAUCAACUCUUUAUAUCUAUAUUGGUCAUUUUCCGUAUAAUUUCUGAAGAUUUUGAAAGACGAAAGGGGACGUUAGCAUAUUACUGGAACCUCAAGAUGGCGGACAGGCUAAAGAAGGAAGACGGAGUGAAUUACAAAUUAGUGACGUUUUAUGCAUUGUGCGCGGGUGUCUUGAUCGCAGAAGUUGACGUAAAGGUUAAUUACACCAGGCAAGACAAUAAGCAGGUGUUAGGAGGCCCAGGAACGCCGUAAUGAAGCUGGGAUUUACAAAGGAGCACUGUGUGUUGAUUGAGUGGAGGACAAAGACAUAUCCAGAGAUCUCCCAGCAGGUCAAGAUGCUGGAAAGUGAUAAGAGGACGUCACAUUGAAUGACUGGCAGGCUGCAGCAGCUACAUGACAUGCCAAAAGGUAAUGAAUGGUUAUGCAGUGUAGCUCAUAAAAUAAACGUGUGUAUUCAUAUACAGUGAUGCAUCUAAUUUUGUAAGAUAGAAGACAGUACUAUUUGGUUUCAAGGUGCUGCAAGUUAGAGUAAGAGCAUAAUAAUGACAGUAUUAGUAAGAUCUGUGUGGAUGCAGUUUACUUUUUGGAGGUGAGGAUCUCAAAUGCCCAUUCAUCAAAAGUUCAGCGUAUUAAUAAUCAUUUAUAGUGGCCAUGUAAUGUAUUAUUUAGCCUUGCUGGUUUGGCAAAGAGAAGGAGUUAAUUAUUACCCUCAGCAGACUGCUGGGGUGUGCAGAGUACAGCACCUGCCUUGGGUCUGGUGCUUUGUACCUGCUGAGUGUUUUUUGUUCUAAGCAUUGGUCAAGGUAUUAGUGGAAAGAAUUUUCCUCCAGUUAGUCAAAUAAACACUACUUUGCAGAAGAGCUUUGGAGCUGACAGUGAGUAUAUGCUGCUGGGAACCAUUCUGUCACAAGUGUGUGUGUGUGUGUGCAUCUACCUAUUUGUAGUCUACCGGGCCCGAGCUAAGCUCUAAUAGUCCCGUCUCCAUAUCUACAAGUAGGUGUAUGUGCGUAUGUACGUGUGUGUAAUUCACCUCUUGGUCUGCUGCGGGUCUCUCUCAAGAUAGCCAGCCGUUCCCCUACGGAAGAGCACAGAGCACUGAUCUUUGGUGAACACAGAAGUGGGGACAGAAAGCUGCAUCUAGUGCCGGAUGGAUGGACGUGGUGAACAGGCACAGAGGGGAGGUGAUGACUUACCCACAGCAGGCAAAACAGGUUUACAUCUUCCAAGGUUUAUGAAUUUCCCUCAAAUGCCAAGCUCCUGAAAUUUCUGCCUGGAUAGAGUUUAUGCUUCCAAUGAGGCAUUCAGAAGCCCGAGCCCACCUAGCCUGAUGUUACUGACAGUAAAAAGACUAAACAUUGAAGUGAUAUGGUCUGACAUGGACAAGACUACUUCCAAACAUAUAUUGCAAAUUAAAUAAUUAAUUACUUUUAUGCAAAGACAAAGCUUGUUUUAGAACUUAAUUUUUUAAGCAAUAAAAUAACUUACUGAAACUUAUCAAAGUCCACCUAAUUUUUAAGUUUAACCAUCUAGUCAGUUUUCUAGCAGGGAAGAGAAUCUGCAGCUUCAGAUGCUGUGUGAAGACCUUGCAUCUCAAGAUGCCAUAGAAAAGUCCACUUAAAAAUAACGUGUACUUAGUAAACAACAAGACAGCCAAGUUAAAACAGUGGGUAGUUUUUAUUUUCUGCCUCAGCUACACUGGCGACGAGAAGUACAGACGCUGCUCCUCUAGUGGAGGUCAGACAAACACACUAACAUUGAUUGUCGAUGAUGCACUUUGUUCCCUUUCCAAGCUUUAUAUGUCUUGUGGAGUGAUGUGACGUUUGGGAGAAUUGGUCCACAACUACAUGAUGUGACUGUUUUGCAAACCAGCAGUAUUGCAAGCAGUACUAUUAAGACCUUGUAAAGCUCCAUAGUCACUUUCUCAGGAUUAAUAUAAUCCCUUCAUGAAUUAACAAUACAAUGAAACAUCCUGACUUAAGUUUAAAUGAUAAGUAUUAUAUUUAAUUCCUGCAACUUUUGGCUCCUGUCCAACAAACAGCCAGCAGAGCUGGACUAAAAGUUUGUAUUAUUAGCCUGUUAUUUUUACCUUCUAUUUUUUUAAUUUUUUUUAUAUUUUUUAUAUAAUUAAUUUUGUCUACUUUGUCAGACUAAGGAGAUGCUGGCUUGUCAGGAAAGAAGAGUAUUUGAGAACGAAGACGUGCAGCCUUGUCCGAGGACGGCAUAAUGUAUUUUGGCGCAAUCAGCUGGAAGUUCGGGGAUGUGGCAGCUACUGUGGGGAUCCUCUAGAACAGCCUGUUACUGAUCUUGGUUCUAUCAGUGUUGGGUCUAGUCGCUAUGUCUUCAGCGAGCUGCAGUGCAUUUUCAAAGCAAGCUACUGAACAUCCAACCAACCGUGUGUGGGGCCGAGGCACCCGCCGUACCUCUUAAGUGAGACCGGUACUCCUGACCGCCUCACCCUCGGGCAGCGGCGCCAGCUUCUCCUCCAGGGAUGACACCGGGGACGAGUUGCCGGAGCG